UACGUAGGCGGCGCAGCAAGUGUCGGGUGAAAUCCCACGGCUCACCCGUGGAACUGCCUGGCAAACUGCUGUGCUAGAGUGUGGUAGGGGAGAGCGGAACUCAUGGUGGAGCGGUGAAAUGCGUAGAUAUCAUGAGGAACACCGGUGGCGAAGGCGGCUCUCUGGUCCACAACUGACGCUGAGGUACGAAAGCUAGGGUAGCGAACG
RNAcentral lists this ribosomal RNA (207 nucleotides) under uncultured bacterium. Its description in RNAcentral is "partial 16S ribosomal RNA". It matches the Rfam family "Bacterial small subunit ribosomal RNA", at positions 568 to 774 of the family's 1533-position model. The record is from RNAcentral.